AGAGUUUGAUCCUGGCUCAGAACGAACGCUGGCGGUAUGCUUAACACAUGCAAGUCGAACGAACAAAAUUGGGGCUUGCUCCAAUUUUAGUGAGUGGCAAACGGGUGAGUAACACGUGGGAAUCUACCUAUCAGUACGGAAUAACAUUUGGAAACAGAUGCUAAUACCGUAUAUUCUCCAAGGAGGAAAGAUUUAUCGCUGAUAGAUGAGCCCGCGCAAGAUUAGGUAGUUGGUAGGGUAAUGGCCUACCAAGCCGACAAUCUUUAGCUGGUCUGAGAGGAUGAUCAGCCACACUGGGACUGAGACACGGCCCAGACUCCUACGGGAGGCAGCAGUGGGGAAUAUUGGACA
This 351-nucleotide ribosomal RNA is filed under the name uncultured bacterium. RNAcentral describes it as "bacterial SSU rRNA". It matches the Rfam family "Bacterial small subunit ribosomal RNA", at positions 8 to 370 of the family's 1533-position model. The record is from RNAcentral.